This 379-nucleotide unclassified non-coding RNA is filed under the name uncultured Alphaproteobacteria bacterium. RNAcentral's name for it is "contains 16S-23S intergenic spacer region". Lineage: Bacteria; Pseudomonadati; Pseudomonadota; Alphaproteobacteria. The record is from RNAcentral.
UCGCGGCUUAUCACCGGCAGUCCCCUUAGAGUGCCCAACUGAAUGAUGGCAACUAAGGGCGAGGGUUGCGCUCGUUGCGGGACUUAACCCAACAUCUCACGACACGAGCUGACGACAGCCAUGCAGCACCUGUGCACCUCCCAGCCGAACUGAAAGAAAACAUUUCUGUCUCCUAUAGAGGGCAUGUCAAGACCUGGUAAGGUUCUUCGCGUUGCCUCGAAUUAAACCACAUGUUCCACCGCUUGUGCGGGUCCCCGUCAAUUUCUUUGAGUUUUAAUCUUGCGACCGUACUCCCCAGGCGGGGUGCUUAACGCGUUAGCUGCGCCACUGAGAGGUAUCCCCCCAACGGCUAGCACCCAUCGUUUACAGCGUGGACUAC